This 761-nucleotide long non-coding RNA is filed under the name Gadus morhua (Atlantic cod). RNAcentral's name for it is "lncRNA (ENSGMOG00000037209.1)". The record is from RNAcentral. Lineage: Eukaryota; Metazoa; Chordata; Actinopteri; Gadiformes; Gadidae.
AGGACGACUAGGAAUCAACCAACAAGGAUUCCUCGUAAGUUUGUAUUUACUUGCAUGGUUGACUUAAAGGGCAAAAUACAGCUGUUACUUUGACAUGCGUUAACAAACUACCGCUGGUUUUUCUUACUAGAAACCUUUCUGGAGUGGAGCAAGCUGGUAGGGGAGCCGUGAAUCUGGAGGAUGACCAUCACUCUACCAACAAGGAUUACGUUGGGGCCAGACUUGCGCUGUUUGUUCCAGACCAGGACUCUGGCUGAGGAGAGCUGAUGGAGGAGCCAAGACUCUGGAGGACGACAUCACUCUACCAACAAAGAUCCUCACCAGGAAUCUGGAGGACUGACGGAGAAGCCGUACAUCCGGAAGGCAAAUCAUGAGGACAACCAGGACUCUCCAUCAAGGAUUCCUCGUAAGUUUGCAUUACAUAGUGGACUAGGUAGGGGUUGGGGGUUCAACUCUCAGACCAAUGGUGCCGGGUUCAAGUCCUCAGAAUACAGUGAUGCGUCCUUGAGCAAGGCGCCCUAAAGCCUGCCUGCUCCUUAAUGGCGUCUCUUUGGUUUAGAUAAUGUUGCAUCUUUUGAAUAUCGAACCUAAUCCAUGUCCUUGUCUGGUCCGGGCAGACACACCUGAGCUGAACCUCACCUGAUCCUGUUUGGUCGGGGGAAGACGCACCUGAGCUGAACCCACCUGAUCCUGACAUCCUGCUGGUCCCGUCUCCUCAGUUCAUCUGAGCCUCGUCCUCCAGAAGACCUGCUGAGCUCAGC